Molecule: ribosomal RNA, 473 nt
Filed under: uncultured bacterium
Lineage: Bacteria
Description: bacterial SSU rRNA
Rfam family: Bacterial small subunit ribosomal RNA
Source: RNAcentral
ACUCCUACGGGAGGCAGCAGUAGGGAAUCUUCCACAAUGGGCGCAAGCCUGAUGGAGCAACACCGCGUGAGUGAAGAAGGGUUUCGGCUCAUAAAGCUCUGUUGUUAAAGAAGAACACGUAUGAGAGUAACUGUUCAUACGUUGACGGUAUUUAACCAGAAAGUCACGGCUAACUACGUGCCAGCAGCCGCGGUAAUACGUAGGUGGCAAGCGUUAUCCGGAUUUAUUGGGCGUAAAGAGAGUGCAGGCGGUUUUCUAAGUCUGAUGUGAAAGCCUUCGGCUUAACCGGAGAAGUGCAUCGGAAACUAGAUAACUUGAGUGCAGAAGAGGGUAGUGGAACUCCAUGUGUAGCGGUGGAAUGCGUAGAUAUAUGGAAGAACACCAGUGGCGAAGGCGGCUACCUGGUCUGCAACUGACGCUGAGACUCGAAAGCAUGGGUAGCGAACAGGAUUAGAUACCCUGGUAGGAUAGCG